This 1202-nucleotide long non-coding RNA is filed under the name Camelus dromedarius (Arabian camel). RNAcentral's name for it is "lncRNA (ENSCDRG00005015599.1)". The record is from RNAcentral. Lineage: Eukaryota; Metazoa; Chordata; Mammalia; Artiodactyla; Camelidae.
AAAAAAUAGUGACUACUCAUAGUCUAGUAAGAACUUCCAUGUGCAAGUAUCCUCUUCAAGGGGCCAAACAGAUCUCCAAAAUUCUCUCACCAUUCUUGGAAAUCCACAGUUCUGCAGGGUCUGGCCCCUACCAGCUUUCUCCGGCCCUGCACCCCAGUUAUGCUGUCUCAGGGCACUGGGCUUUUGCAUAUGCUGCUUCUUCUGCCUGUUAACUUAGUUAACUCCUAUCAUCCUUCAAUUCUAAACCUAAGCACUACUUCCUCAGGGAACCUUUUCUGACCCCCAAACAGGUCAUGCCCCUCUGUUAUACAUUCUCCCAAAUCUUUUGUAACACCAUCGGAGACAAUUUUACAUUUAUUUGUGUGAAUAUUUGUUUAAUGUUUGCCUCUCUCUUUAGAUGUGGAGCUCUAAGAAGGCAAGUCUUUAUCUGGUUUUGCUCACCACUCAAUCCUCACUGCUCAGCACUGCACUUGGCUUAUAAUCAGUGCUCAACAAAUGACAACAGAUUGAAUGAAGAGCUAAACAGUUUGUAUGAUUCCAUAGAAGAACCCAGGAAUAAACCCCCCAAACCCAGGAUGGACUCAGAUGGGUCACAGAUCAGCUUCUCCCAAUCCAGGACCCAACCCCACUGACCUCACCGAUAUCUGCUUCCCGACCACAGUGAAUUCUCCUCUGAGUAAAACCUGCUCAGAAUUUAAUCUAGUCAUUUAUCAACUCCUCCCCACAAAAAAAAAUUAUUCCGCCACCCACCCGUGGCCCAGGGUCCAGUCACCCUCGGCUCACCCUUAAAGAGAGGUAGAAGACAGGGUGGGAAGGAGGCAGAGAGUUGGAGACCCUGGGCUUGGGGAAAAGGGGGACAGGCUGUAGAAGUGCCUAGGGAUGGGGUUGGGGGCCUGAGGGAUGGAGGAAUUGGAGCUCCCCAGUUACAAAAAUUCUUAGCGCACGCCUGCAAACCUCACCUCGAAAGCUGAGCCUCACUUGUCGGUCAUGGGUUCCUGGUAGCCCUGUCAGUCGUCGCACACACAUGGUCAGAGCCAUUGUCCCAGGGCCACUGGUGCUACCUCUGCCCGCCUGCCCUCCUGCCCACCUGCCCACCUGCCCACCCACCUGAAUCGCCUCUGACUCACUGGACUCACCCAGCAGGUUCAGCAAUCCCUGCCCUUUAGACAAACACGAAAUCCACAGGCCUGGGGGUCAUGGGU